Molecule: long non-coding RNA, 761 nt
Filed under: Capra hircus (goat)
Lineage: Eukaryota; Metazoa; Chordata; Mammalia; Artiodactyla; Bovidae
Description: lncRNA (ENSCHIG00000001952.1)
Source: RNAcentral
CUGUUCGGUCAGCAUAUGCCCUACUGUUGGGGAGAGAGGACCCAAAUCUCAGUGUUAAGUUUACCAGAUCCCAUAAUGUGGAUGUCACCAGUGGCUGGGCAAUCUUGUGUCUGGAAACCAAGGUCUCCUGAGGCCAGGAAACAGUCCAAGAGCAGUUUCUUAAGGACAUGCAACAUAGACAAAUGCCCAAGAGAAAGCAUGGAACCUGAGCUGGCCCUCAGAUGGAAGGUGGAUCCAUUACUGAUCACAGUGGAAUGCCCCUGGAAGCCAAAUGGGACUCUGUGGGGCCCUUCUAGGUACAAAACCUAUCUCUGUCCCCUGUUUGUUGUUUCCAGAAAAUAGACAUCACUCAGCCUCCUAGACCUUCUUUGAGUACCAAAGUAUAGAUUCAAACAGUUGCAAAUUGGGGAGGGAGGGAGUGAAUGCAGAAACAAAGGAAAGUAACAACAGUGCCCCGAUUAAAGAAGGGUCCUGAUUCCCUCUCAAGGAAUGUACAUAGCAAUAUCCUUAGUUCUUCUGCUCGAACCAUGGACUCCAUCUAGGCUGAGGAUGGCAACUUCAGGCUGAACACAGGAUUUCUGGAGUACCAUCGGCUACCUCACCACCAACCCAUCAGAAGAAAGAUAUGCAUUCUGCAACCCUCAUCUCAAAUGGUGACUAAAAAAUUUUCUCCCUGAAAACUGUCCAGGAGCUCAGGUUUCUGGAGCAUGAGCCACCCAUUCUCCUUGCUUGGCCCUGCAAUAAACCUUUCUGUGCUCCAG